CGGCAGGCCUAACACAUGCAAGUCGAACGGUAACAGGAAGAAUCUUGCUUCUUUGCUGACGAGUGGCGGACGGGUGAGUAAUGUCUGGGAAACUGCCUGAUGGAGGGGGAUAACUACUGGAAACGGUAGCUAAUACCGCAUAACGUCGCAAGACCAAAGAGGGGGACCUUCGGGCCUCUUGCCAUCGGAUGUGCCCAGAUGGGAUUAGCUAGUAGGUGGGGUAACGGCUCACCUAGGCGACGAUCCCUAGCUGGUCUGAGAGGAUGACCAGCCACACUGGAACUGAGACACGGUCCAGACUCCUACGGGAGGCAGCAGUGGGGAAUAUUGCACAAUGGGCGCAAGCCUGAUGCAGCCAUGCCGCGUGUAUGAAGAAGGCCUUCGGGUUGUAAAGUACUUUCAGCGGGGAGGAAGGGAGUGAAGUUAAUACCUUUGCUCAUUGACGUUACCCGCAGAAGAAGCACCGGCUAACUCCGUGCCAUCAGCCGCGGUAAUACGGAGGGUGCAAGCGUUAAUCGGAAUUACUGGGCGUAAAGCGCACGCAGGCGGUUUGUUAAGUCAGAUGUGAAAUCCCCGGGCUCAACCUGGCAACUGCAUCUGAUACUGACAGGCUUGAGUCUCGGAGAGAGGGGAAAAAUUCCAGGUGUAGCGGUGAAAUGCGUAGAGAUCUGGAGGAAUACUCGGCGGCGAAGGCGGUCCCCCUGGACGAAGACUGACGCUCAGGUGCGAAAGCGUGGGGAGCAAACAGGAUUAGAUACCCUGGUAGUCCACGCCGUAAACGAUGUCGACUUGGAGGUUGUGCCCUUGAGGCGUGGCUUCCGGAGCUAACGCGUUAAGUCGACCGCCUGGGGAGUACGGCCGCAAGGUUAAAACUCAAAUGAAUUGACGGGGGCCCGCACAAGCGGUGGAGCAUGUGGUUUAAUUCAAUGCAACGCGAAGAACCUUACCUGGUCUUGACAUCCACGGAAGUUUUCAGAGAUGAGAAUGUGCCUUCGGGAACCGUGAGACAGGUGCUGCAUGGCUGUCGUCAGCUCGUGUUGUGAAAUGUUGGGUUAAGUCCCGCAACGAGCGCAACCCUUAUCCUUUGUUGCCAGCGGUCCGGCCGGGAACUCAAAGGAGACUGCCAGUGAUAAACUGGAGGAAGGUGGGGAUGACGUCAAGUCAUCAUGGCCCUUACGACCAGGGCUACACACGUGCUACAAUGGCGCAUACAAAGAGAAGCGACCUCGCGAGAGCAAGCGGACCUCAUAAAGUGCGUCGUAGUCCGGAUUGGAGUCUGCAACUCGACUCCAUGAAGUCGGAAUCGCUAGUAAUCGUGGAUCAGAAUGCCACGGUGAAUACGUUCCCGGGCCUUGUACACACCGCCCGUCACACCAUGGGAGUGGGUUGCAAAAGAAGUAGGUAGCUUAACCUUCGGGAGGGCGCUUACCACUUUGUGAUUCAUGACUGG
This 1450-nucleotide ribosomal RNA is filed under the name uncultured organism. RNAcentral describes it as "16S ribosomal RNA". It matches the Rfam family "Bacterial small subunit ribosomal RNA". The record is from RNAcentral.